Molecule: long non-coding RNA, 829 nt
Organism: Bactrocera latifrons
Lineage: Eukaryota; Metazoa; Arthropoda; Insecta; Diptera; Tephritidae
Exons: 3
Source: RefSeq, a predicted model, not a curated record
GUUAAAAAGAAGAGUAAUUUAUAUCUCAAUUAAGUUAACGGUAAAAACAAUUGAUAAAAAAAUAAGUAUGUAUAUGUAUUUCUGAAUAUUAACCGGACAGAAGUAAACAAAUCACUACGACACUUGUAAAGUUUCAUCUCUAGCCCCACUACUUAUUCAAAACUAAGAGUAGCAACAUUCAUCAUAUACAAGUAUAAUUUUUGAAUGACUAAGAAAGAAAUACACAUGUGUAUAUACCAUCAUCAUCAACUAUAGUCGACAUUCAUUGGGAAACAUUUGUGAUGUAAGCGCUUUUUCGAUAGAUUCAAAUGGCGUUUGUAAAGAAAGUAAGUUCUUGAACAGUGUGGGAUCAAUUGUGUCACUUUCCGUAAUAUUUUUCCCAAUAGAGAAUCCAAGGAUGUCCUGCGGUAAAUAGUGAUUUUGAAUGCGUCUGAUGGCGCAGAGUUUAAGCUAGACAGAUUACACUCAAUAUUUUCCGUUUGUGUGCCGUCUAAAAGAAAUCAUUAAUAUGUAUAUCUAAAGACCAAAACGCCCUCUCUAACUGGAUCCCUUCCUGACGGUAACGCUGAGAAUGCUAAGGAUGCAUUGCUAUUUAUACACAGAGUAGUAUCAUCUGGAAUAAUCAAUAAUUCGUAAAUGUCUACUAAUGAUGUGCUGCAAUUCAACGUCUUGUACGUAAAAUACUGUUAUUAGGGCUCGUUGUGUUUCGUAAUGACAACUUACUGAAUACAUAUAAGUAAAUUAUAUAACUCUUCUAUGUUUUAUAUACAAUGUUUUGGACCAUAUAUUGGUAUUACAAUAAUAUAUAAUUCUGAAUAAUUUAAUCAUA